AUUGAACGCUGGCGGCAUGCCUUACACAUGCAAGUCGAACGGCAGCAUGAUCUAGCUUGCUAGAUUGAUGGCGAGUGGCGAACGGGUGAGUAAUACAUCGGAACGUGCCCUGUAGUGGGGGAUAACUAGUCGAAAGAUUAGCUAAUACCGCAUACGACCUGAGGGUGAAAGUGGGGGACCGCAAGGCCUCAUGCUAUAGGAGCGGCCGAUGUCUGAUUAGCUAGUUGGUGAGGUAAAGGCUCACCAAGGCGACGAUCAGUAGCUGGUCUGAGAGGACGAUCAGCCACACUGGGACUGAGACACGGCCCAGACUCCUACGGGAGGCAGCAGUGGGGAAUUUUGGACAAAGGGCGAAAGCCUGAUCCAGCAAUGCCGCGUGUGUGAAGAAGGCCUUCGGGUUGUAAAGCACUUUUGUCCGGAAAGAAAUGGCUCUGGUUAAUACCUGGGGUCGAUGACGGUACCGGAAGAAUAAGGACCGGCUAACCACGUG
This 490-nucleotide ribosomal RNA is filed under the name uncultured bacterium. RNAcentral's name for it is "partial 16S ribosomal RNA". It matches the Rfam family "Bacterial small subunit ribosomal RNA", at positions 30 to 507 of the family's 1533-position model. The record is from RNAcentral.